CAGAAGUGCAGAACGAAAUCUUUGUGCUCUCUACUUCUCUUAUCGCUGCGUAGGUAUGUCGCUGGAUUCUCAUAUAGAGAGGGUGCUAUGGACCAAGUUCCAAAUCUCUAAACGAGUCACAGUGAUUGCAUCUGAAAUCACCAAUGAUUUUACCUCGAUUUCUCCUCCUCCGGUGAUAGUGGGCGUGGCUACCGGCGCUUUCUUGUUCUUGGCUGACUUGGUCAGGCAAAUACAGUUGCCUGUUUCCGUUGAUUUUAUUCGCGC
RNAcentral lists this unclassified non-coding RNA (264 nucleotides) under Hevea brasiliensis (rubber tree). Lineage: Eukaryota; Viridiplantae; Streptophyta; Magnoliopsida; Malpighiales; Euphorbiaceae. The record is from RNAcentral.